AACAACUUCGGACCGUCGCGGCGUCGGUCUACCGAGCAAAUAUCACCCGCUCGGUGGAAGAUCUUCCUUUCCUCGU
This 76-nucleotide microRNA precursor is filed under the name Bombyx mori (domestic silkworm). RNAcentral's name for it is "mir-2774 microRNA precursor family". It matches the Rfam family "mir-2774 microRNA precursor family". The record is from Rfam by way of RNAcentral. Lineage: Eukaryota; Metazoa; Arthropoda; Insecta; Lepidoptera; Bombycidae.